Molecule: ribosomal RNA, 781 nt
Filed under: Nonomuraea sp. UTMC 2182
Lineage: Bacteria; Bacillati; Actinomycetota; Actinomycetes; Streptosporangiales; Streptosporangiaceae
Description: bacterial SSU rRNA
Rfam family: Bacterial small subunit ribosomal RNA
Source: RNAcentral
CUUCGGGGUACUCGAGCGGCGAACGGGUGAGUAACACGUGAGCAACCUGCCCCUGACUCUGGGAUAAGCCCGGGAAACUGGGUCUAAUACCGGAUAUGACCGCCUCCCGCAUGGGGUGGUGGUGGAAAGUUUUUCGGUUGGGGAUGGGCUCGCGGCCUAUCAGCUUGUUGGUGGGGUAGUGGCCUACCAAGGCGACGACGGGUAGCCGGCCUGAGAGGGCGACCGGCCACACUGGGACUGAGACACGGCCCAGACUCCUACGGGAGGCAGCAGUGGGGAAUAUUGCGCAAUGGGCGGAAGCCUGACGCAGCGACGCCGCGUGGGGGAUGACGGCCUUCGGGUUGUAAACCUCUUUCAGCAGGGACGAAGUUGACGUGUACCUGCAGAAGAAGCGCCGGCUAACUACGUGCCAGCAGCCGCGGUAAUACGUAGGGCGCAAGCGUUGUCCGGAAUUAUUGGGCGUAAAGAGCUCGUAGGUGGCUUGUCGCGUCGGAUGUGAAAGCCCGCAGCUUAACUGCGGGUCUGCAUUUGAUACGGGCAGGCUAGAGGUAGGUAGGGGAGAACGGAAUUCCUGGUGUAGCGGUGAAAUGCGCAGAUAUCAGGAGGAACACCGGUGGCGAAGGCGGUUCUCUGGGCCUUACCUGACGCUGAGGAGCGAAAGCGUGGGGAGCGAACAGGAUUAGAUACCCUGGUAGUCCACGCUGUAAACGUUGGGCGCUAGGUGUGGGACCCUUCCACGGGUUCCGUGCCGGAGCUAACGCAUUAAGCGCCCCGCCUGGGG